Molecule: ribosomal RNA, 891 nt
Filed under: uncultured bacterium
Lineage: Bacteria
Description: bacterial SSU rRNA
Rfam family: Bacterial small subunit ribosomal RNA
Source: RNAcentral
GUGCCAGCAGCCGCGGUAAUACGGAGGAUGCGAGCGUUAUCCGGAUUUAUUGGGUUUAAAGGGUGCGCAGGCGGGCUGUUAAGUCAGCGGUGAAAUCUCCGGGCUCAACUCGGAAACUGCCGUUGAUACUGGCGGCCUUGAGUCAUGUCGAGGAUGGCGGAAUGCAGCGUGUAGCGGUGAAAUGCUUAGAUAUGCUGCAGAACUCCGAUUGCGAAGGCAGCUGUCCAGAGAUGUACUGACGCUGAGGCACGAAAGCAUGGGUAUCAAACAGGAUUAGAUACCCUGGUAGUCCAUGCAGUAAACGAUGAGCGCUCGCGGUUUGCAGGUUACUGUGAGCCGCUUAGCGAAAGCGUUAAGCGCUCCACCUGGGGAGUACGCCGGCAACGGUGAAACUCAAAGGAAUUGACGGGGGCCCGCACAAGCGGAGGAACAUGUGGUUUAAUUCGAUGAUACGCGAGGAACCUUACCCGGGCUUGAAAUGCGGACGACGUGCCCAGAGAUGGGCAUUCCUGGCAACAGGCGUCCGUGUAGGUGCUGCAUGGUUGUCGUCAGCUCGUGCCGUGAGGUGUCGGCUUAAGUGCCAUAACGAGCGCAACCCUCGCCGACAGUUACCAUCAGGUGAUGCUGGGGACUCUGUCGGGACUGCCACCGCAAGGUGCGAGGAAGGCGGGGAUGACGUCAAAUCAGCACGGCCCUUACGUCCGGGGCUACACACGUGUUACAAUGGGCGGGACAGAGUGAUGCCAGGCGGUGACGCCGAGCCGAUCAUGAAACCCGCCCCUAGUUCGGACUGGAGUCUGCAACCCGACUCCACGAAGCUGGAUUCGCUAGUAAUCGCGCAUCAGCCAUGGCGCGGUGAAUACGUUCCCGGGCCUUGUACACACCGCCCGU